GAUGAACGCUGGCGGCGUGCCUAAUACAUGCAAGUCGAACGAGUUCUCGUUGAUGAUCGGUGCUUGCACCGAGAUUCAACAUGGAACGAGUGGCGGACGGGUGAGUAACACGUGGGUAACCUGCCCUUAAGUGGGGGAUAACAUUUGGAAACAGAUGCUAAUACCGCAUAGAUCCAAGAACCGCAUGGUUCUUGGCUGAAAGAUGGCGUAAGCUAUCGCUUUUGGAUGGACCCGCGGCGUAUUAGCUAGUUGGUGAGGUAAUGGCUCACCAAGGCGAUGAUACGUAGCCGAACUGAGAGGUUGAUCGGCCACAUUGGGACUGAGACACGGCCCAAACUCCUACGGGAGGCAGCAGUAGGGAAUCUUCCACAAUGGACGCAAGUCUGAUGGAGCAACGCCGCGUGAGUGAAGAAGGCUUUCGGGUCGUAAAACUCUGUUGUUGGAGAAGAAUGGUCGGCAGAGUAACUGUUGUCGGCGUGACGGUAUCCAACCAGAAAGCCACGGCUAACUACGUGCCAGCAGCCGCGGUAAUACGUAGGUGGCAAGCGUUAUCCGGAUUUAUUGGGCGUAAAGCGAGCGCAGGCGGUUUUUUAAGUCUGAUGUGAAAGCCCUCGGCUUAACCGAGGAAGCGCAUCGGAAACUGGGAAACUUGAGUGCAGAAGAGGACAGUGGAACUCCAUGUGUAGCGGUGAAAUGCGUAGAUAUAUGGAAGAACACCAGUGGCGAAGGCGGCUGUCUGGUCUGUAACUGACGCUGAGGCUCGAAAGCAUGGGUAGCGAACAGGAUUAGAUACCCUGGUAGUCCAUGCCGUAAACGAUGAAUGCUAGGUGUUGGAGGGUUUCCGCCCUUCAGUGCCGCAGCUAACGCAUUAAGCAUUCCGCCUGGGGAGUACGACCGCAAGGUUGAAACUCAAAGGAAUUGACGGGGGCCCGCACAAGCGGUGGAGCAUGUGGUUUAAUUCGAAGCAACGCGAAGAACCUUACCAGGUCUUGACAUCUUUUGAUCACCUGAGAGAUCAGGUUUCCCCUUCGGGGGCAAAAUGACAGGUGGUGCAUGGUUGUCGUCAGCUCGUGUCGUGAGAUGUUGGGUUAAGUCCCGCAACGAGCGCAACCCUUAUGACUAGUUGCCAGCAUUUAGUUGGGCACUCUAGUAAGACUGCCGGUGACAAACCGGAGGAAGGUGGGGAUGGCGUCAAAUCAUCAUGCCCCUUAUGACCUGGGCUACACACGUGCUACAAUGGAUGGUACAACGAGUUGCGAGACCGCGAGGUCAAGCUAAUCUCUUAAAGCCAUUCUCAGUUCGGACUGUAGGCUGCAACUCGCCUACACGAAGUCGGAAUCGCUAGUAAUCGCGGAUCAGCACGCCGCGGUGAAUACGUUCCCGGGCCUUGUACACACCGCCCGUCACACCAUGAGAGUUUGUAACACCCGAAGCCGGUGGCGUAACCCUUUUAGGGAGCGAGCCGUCUAAGGUGGGACAAA
This 1481-nucleotide ribosomal RNA is filed under the name uncultured organism. Its description in RNAcentral is "SSU rRNA". It matches the Rfam family "Bacterial small subunit ribosomal RNA". The record is from RNAcentral.